GAAGGGACGUAACUAUCUGAAAACAUUGGAAAGGUCAGGCCUAGUUGUGAGAACCCAACAAGAAGCUAAGCAAAUAACGAAGAAUGAGCCACAAAAGAGUGAUGAAGACUUCGAUUCUGGUCACCGGCCUCCAAGACACAAUUCUCAGAUGAAGGGUCGAAAGAAGUUACAGUGGCAAUGGUUGGCUAAUGCCCCAAAAGCUAUGGUGCCUAAAUCAAUGAGAACCCAACAAGAAGCUAAGCAAAUAACGAAGAAUGAGCCACAAAAGAGUGAUGAAGACUUCGAUUCUGGUCACCGGCCUCCAAGACACAAUUCUCAGAUGAAGGGUCGAAAGAAGUUACAGUGGCAAUGGUUGGCUAAUGCCCCAAAAGCUAUGGUGCCUAAAUCAAGGAGCUACAAUCCUCAACCUCAGCUACCUCUACUCCAGAGUGACUCAUGGAUGCACAACAACCUACCUUAUGCGAC
Talpa occidentalis (Iberian mole) is the source of this 465-nucleotide long non-coding RNA. RefSeq lists it as uncharacterized. The transcript has 4 exons. The record is from RefSeq and is a predicted model, not a curated record. Lineage: Eukaryota; Metazoa; Chordata; Mammalia; Eulipotyphla; Talpidae.